This 1540-nucleotide unclassified non-coding RNA is filed under the name Hevea brasiliensis (rubber tree). The record is from RNAcentral. Lineage: Eukaryota; Viridiplantae; Streptophyta; Magnoliopsida; Malpighiales; Euphorbiaceae.
AAAAUUCAAAGUCACCCCCAUUGCUUCCUCUAUAAAAUUGUAUUACCCAUUUUGUGGGUGAUGAGGAUUUACUGGAUUUGAAGACCGAAAGAAAAGAGAGAAUCGUAAAAGCAGAAUAGAGGAGUACUGGUAUUUGGUUGAUGGUCUCAUGGGUGCGACGGGUUCCAAGCUCGAGAAAGCCCUCGGAGACCAGUUUCCCGAAGGUGAACGAUACUUUGGUCUCGAAAAUUUUGGCAACACUUGUUAUUGCAACAGCGUCUUGCAGGCUUUAUACUUCUGUGUCCCCUUCCGUGAGCAACUGCUAGAGUAUUAUGCAAAUAAUAAAGGUCCUCCAGAAGCUGAGGAGAAUCUCUUAACUUGUCUGGCUGAAUUGUUCUCACAGAUAAGUUCACAGAGGAAGAAAACAGGUGUUAUAGCUCCAAGGCGCUUUGUACAAAGAGUUAGGAAGCAAAAUGAACUUUUCCGAGGUUACAUGCAUCAGGAUGCCCAUGAGUUUUUGAACUUCUUGUUGAAUGAACUCGUUGAUAUCUUGGAGAAAGAGUCACAUGGAGCAAAAAGUUCAGCAGCAACUUCUCCUGAAAAAGUCUCAAAUGGUACAUGCAAUGGUCAUGCGAAUGACGUUAAGGAGGAGCCACUUGUUACCUGGGUGCACAAAAAUUUUCAGGGUAUAUUAACCAAUGAAACAAGAUGUUUGAGGUGUGAGACAGUCACAGCUAGGGAUGAGACAUUUUUUGAUUUGAGCCUUGAUAUUGAACAAAACAGUUCAAUUACAAGCUGCCUAAAAAAUUUCAGUUCUACAGAGACCCUCAAUGCAGAGGACAAAUUUUUCUGUGACAAGUGUUGUAGCUUGCAAGAAGCACAAAAACGGAUGAAGAUAAAGAAACCUCCACACAUCCUGGUCAUUCAUUUGAAGCGCUUCAAGUAUAUGGAACAAUUAGGUCGUUACAAAAAAUUGUCUUACCGCGUUGUGUUUCCUCUGGAGCUAAAACUCAGCAACACCACUGAGAACACAGAUUCUGAGUAUUCUCUAUUUGCUGUUGUGGUUCAUGUCGGAAGUGGGCCAAACCAUGGGCAUUAUGUUAGUCUUGUGAAAAGCCACAACCACUGGUUGUUCUUUGAUGAUGAGAACGCGGAGAUCAUUGAUGAGUCUGCUGUUCAGACCUUUUUUGGCUCAGCUCAAGAGUACUCCAGCAAUACAGAUCAUGGCUAUAUCCUCUUUUAUGAGAGCCUUGCAGCAAGCAAGAGCUGAAAAUAGUACUCACAUGUUGAGACCUAACUGUUGGUGUAUGUGUCUGCUCAACUUUUGUCGUGUUUAACUUUACGGUUCAAUGUUCGAGACACAAGGGGUUGCUAGCGUUUUGACUUGUUUUAACAAUAAAGAGAUGUAAAUCUUGGUAUAGAAACUUUAAUUAGAUGUCGAAACUGUUUUGUUAGCUAUGUAACUGCAACAACUUCCAGUGAACUCCAUUGGCAGAAGGAAGCAGGAAUAAGUCAAGUUUCUCCUUUGUGUAAUUUCAAUCUGAAAAACACUGCUUCUGUG